AUUGAACGCUGGCGGCAUGCUUUACACAUGCAAGUCGAACGGAAACAUGGAGAAGCUUGCUUCUCUGAUGUCGAGUGGCGAACGGGUGAGUAAUACAUCGGAACAUGUCCUUUUGUGGGGGAUAACUACUCGAAAGAGUAGCUAAUACCGCAUAAGACCUAAGGGUGAAAGCGGGGGCUCUUCGGACCUCGCGCAGAUGGAGUGGCCGAUGACUGAUUAGCUAGUUGGUGGGGUAAAGGCCUACCAAGGCGACGAUCAGUAGCUGGUCUGAGAGGACGACCAGCCACAUUGGGACUGAGACACGGCCCAAACUCCUACGGGAGGCAGCAGUGGGGAAUUUUGGACAAUGGGGGGAACCCUGAUCCAGCCAUGCCGCGUGCAGGAAGAAGGCCUUCGGUUGUAAACUAGCUUUGUUAGGUACGAAAAGGUAGGAGUACUAAUAAUAGUCUACUGAUGACGGUACC
RNAcentral lists this ribosomal RNA (464 nucleotides) under uncultured bacterium. Its description in RNAcentral is "bacterial SSU rRNA". It matches the Rfam family "Bacterial small subunit ribosomal RNA", at positions 30 to 479 of the family's 1533-position model. The record is from RNAcentral.